This 501-nucleotide ribosomal RNA is filed under the name uncultured bacterium. RNAcentral's name for it is "partial 16S ribosomal RNA". It matches the Rfam family "Bacterial small subunit ribosomal RNA", at positions 30 to 523 of the family's 1533-position model. The record is from RNAcentral.
AUUGAACGCUGGCGGCAGGCUUAACACAUGCAAGUCGAGCGGGGGAAGGUAGCUUGCUACCGGACCUAGCGGCGGACGGGUGAGUAAUGCUUAGGAAUCUGCCUAUUAGUGGGGGACAACAUCUCGAAAGGGAUGCUAAUACCGCAUACGUCCUACGGGAGAAAGCAGGGGAUCUUCGGACCUUGCGCUAAUAGAUGAGCCUAAGUCGGAUUAGCUAGUUGGUGGGGUAAAGGCCUACCAAGGCGACGAUCUGUAGCGGGUCUGAGAGGAUGAUCCGCCACACUGGGACUGAGACACGGCCCAGAAUCCUACGGGAGGCAGCAGUGGGGAAUAUUGGACAAUGGGGGGAACCCUGAUCCAGCCAUGCCGCGUGUGUGAAGAAGGCCUUAUGGUUGUAAAGCACUUUAAGCGAGGAGGAGGCUACUUUAGUUAAUACCUAGAGAUAGUGGACGUUACUCGCAGAAUAAGCAUCGGCUAACUCUGUGCCAGCCGCCGCUGUAA